RNAcentral lists this ribosomal RNA (232 nucleotides) under uncultured bacterium. RNAcentral's name for it is "partial 16S ribosomal RNA". It matches the Rfam family "Bacterial small subunit ribosomal RNA", at positions 99 to 334 of the family's 1533-position model. The record is from RNAcentral.
CGGACGGGUGAGUAACGCGUAGGAAUCUACCUGGUAGUGGGGGACAACAUGGGGAAACCCAUGCUAAUACCGCAUACGCCCUAUGGGGGAAAGCGGGGGACCUUCGGGCCUCGCGCUAUCAGAUGAGCCUGCGUAGGAUUAGCUUGUUGGUGAGGUAAAGGCUCACCAAGGCGACGAUCCUUAGCUGGUCUGAGAGGAUGAUCAGCCACACUGGAACUGAGACACGGUCCAG